UGCGUAGGCGGCGUCAUAGGUCAGGGGUGAAAGCCCACAGCUCAACUGUGGAAUUGCCUUUGAUACUGUGGUGCUUGAAUCAGGUUGAGGUAGGCGGAAUGUGGCAUGUAGCGGUGAAAUGCUUAGAUAUGCCAUAGAACACCGAUUGCGAAGGCAGCUUACUGGACCUGCAUUGACGCUGAGGCACGAAAGCGUGGGGAGCGAACAGGAUUAGAUACCCUGGUAGUCC
Molecule: ribosomal RNA, 229 nt
Filed under: uncultured bacterium
Lineage: Bacteria
Description: partial 16S ribosomal RNA
Rfam family: Bacterial small subunit ribosomal RNA
Source: RNAcentral